RNAcentral lists this non-coding RNA (27 nucleotides) under Mus musculus (house mouse). Lineage: Eukaryota; Metazoa; Chordata; Mammalia; Rodentia; Muridae. The record is from RNAcentral.
UGCUCACCACACCCUCAUCACACUUUC